UCAUUCUUCCUCCAGUGACCAGGGAGAAUGCACAUGGGUGGGGGAUUUGUAAUUCAUUAAUCAGCACGAGGCACCGGACCAGUUUCAACACCACAGGCUUCUUGGGUGACUCAGCGGGAAUGCUCCGAUUCAAGGCGAUGGACCGCCCGAGCGUCCCCAUUUGUGAAAUGCUUCCCCGUGAAGAUGCCUGGCAUUCUCCUUCCUUUGGGGUUUCGGGUUGUUGGUUUUUCCGGUGGUGAGGUGGGGGUGGCUUGGCGGUGAGGGCUCCCCCUCCUUCCCGCAGGCCUGGGUUGGGAUUUGCUGGGCAGGAUACCUGGGGGUAUGCCUGGACCCUCCCAGAGGGGUCCCCUCCUCCCUCUCCAAGGGCUGCCGGGGAGAACACGCUCAGAGGAGGCAGCUCUCACCGAGGGCUGGGGACUGCCUUGCUUCAUGAUUUUCCUGGGGGAGAGUCAUGUGGUCCCCAAGGCUUGGGUGCCCUAUAGCCACACCACCAAUUAAAUCACUGGGUAAUAAGUUG
RNAcentral lists this long non-coding RNA (517 nucleotides) under Pongo abelii (Sumatran orangutan). Its description in RNAcentral is "lincRNA". Lineage: Eukaryota; Metazoa; Chordata; Mammalia; Primates; Hominidae. The record is from RNAcentral.